Molecule: ribosomal RNA, 458 nt
Filed under: uncultured bacterium
Lineage: Bacteria
Description: SSU rRNA
Rfam family: Bacterial small subunit ribosomal RNA
Source: RNAcentral
AGAAUCAACGCUGGCGGCGUGCCUAACACAUGCAAGUCGAACGAGAAAGGGUAGCAAUACCUGAGUAAAGUGGCGCACGGGUGAGUAACACGUGACUAACCUACCCUAGAGUGGGGGAUAACUGAGGGAAACCUUAGCUAAUACCGCAUAAUACCCACGGGUCAAAGGAGCAAUUCGCUUUAGGAGGGGGUCGCGGUCGAUUAGUUAGUUGGCGGGGUAAUGGCCCACCAAGACUUUGAUCGAUAUCCGGCCUGAGAGGGCGCACGGACACACUGGAACUGAAACACGGUCCAGACUCCUACGGGAGGCAGCAGUGGGGAAUUUUGCGCAAUGGGGAAACCCUGACGCAGCAACGCCGCGUGGAGGAUGAAGUACUUCGGUACGUAAACUCCUUUCGAUCGGGACGAUUAUGACGGUACCGGAAGAAGAAGCCCGGCUAACUUCGCGCCAGCAGCCGC